GACGAACGCUGGCGGCGUGCUUAACACAUGCAAGUCGAACGAAGAGCGAUGGAAGCUUGCUUCUAUCAAUCUUAGUGGCGAACGGGUGAGUAACGCGUAAUCAACCUGCCCUUCAGAGGGGGACAACAGUUGGAAACGACUGCUAAUACCGCAUACGAUCUAACCUCGGCAUCGAGGAUAGAUGAAAGGUGGCCUCUACAUGUAAGCUAUCACUGAAGGAGGGGAUUGCGUCUGAUUAGCUAGUUGGAGGGGUAACGGCCCACCAAGGCGAUGAUCAGUAGCCGGUCUGAGAGGAUGAACGGCCACAUUGGGACUGAGACACGGCCCAGACUCCUACGGGAGGCAGCAGUGGGGAAUCUUCCGCAAUGGACGAAAGUCUGACGGAGCAACGCCGCGUGAGUGAUGACGGCCUUCGGGUUGUAAGCUCUGUUAAUCGGGACGAAAGGCCUUCUUGCGAAUAGUUAGAAGGAUUGACGGUACCGGAAUAGAAAGCCACGGCUAACUACGUG
RNAcentral lists this ribosomal RNA (509 nucleotides) under uncultured bacterium. Its description in RNAcentral is "partial 16S ribosomal RNA". It matches the Rfam family "Bacterial small subunit ribosomal RNA", at positions 28 to 507 of the family's 1533-position model. The record is from RNAcentral.